RNAcentral lists this ribosomal RNA (474 nucleotides) under uncultured bacterium. RNAcentral's name for it is "bacterial SSU rRNA". It matches the Rfam family "Bacterial small subunit ribosomal RNA", at positions 8 to 526 of the family's 1533-position model. The record is from RNAcentral.
AGAGUUUGAUCAUGGCUCAGGAUGAACGCUGGCGGCGUGCUUAACACAUGCAAGUCGAACGAGCUCUUCGGAGCGAGUGGCGGACGGGUGAGUAACGCGUGAGGAUCUGCCCUCAGGAGGGGGACAACGACUGGAAACGGUCGCUAAUACCCCAUAUGCCGAGAGGUGAAAUGUUUUUUCGCCUGAGGAUGAACUCGCGUCUGAUUAGCUAGUUGGUGGGGUGAAGGCCUACCAAGGCGACGAUCAGUAGCUGGUCUGAGAGGAUGAUCAGCCACACUGGGACUGAGACACGGCCCAGACUCCUACGGGAGGCAGCAGUGGGGAAUUUUCCGCAAUGGGCGCAAGCCUGACGGAGCAACGCCGCGUGAGGGAGGAAGGCCCUAGGGUUGUAAACCUCUUUUCUCAAGGAAGAAGAUCUGACGGUACUUGAGGAAUAAGCCUCGGCUAACUCCGUGCCAGCCGCCGCGGUAAUUC